This 484-nucleotide ribosomal RNA is filed under the name uncultured bacterium. Its description in RNAcentral is "partial 16S ribosomal RNA". It matches the Rfam family "Bacterial small subunit ribosomal RNA", at positions 28 to 507 of the family's 1533-position model. The record is from RNAcentral.
AUUGAACGCUGGCGGCAUGCUUUACACAUGCAAGUCGAACGGCAGCGCGGGCUUCGGCCUGGCGGCGAGUGGCGAACGGGUGAGUAAUGCAUCGGAACGUGCCCAGUAGUGGGGGAUAGCCCGGCGAAAGCCGGAUUAAUACCGCAUACGACCUGAGGGUGAAAGCGGGGGACCGAAAGGCCUCGCGCUAUUGGAGCGGCCGAUGUCGGAUUAGCUAGUUGGUGGGGUAAAGGCUUACCAAGGCGACGAUCCGUAGCUGGUCUGAGAGGACGACCAGCCACACUGGGACUGAGACACGGCCCAGACUCCUACGGGAGGCAGCAGUGGGGAAUUUUGGACAAUGGGGGAAACCCUGAUCCAGCCAUGCCGCGUGCGGGAAGAAGGCCUUCGGGUUGUAAACCGCUUUUGUUCGGGAAGAAAUCCUCUGGGCUAAUACCCCGGGGGGAUGACGGUACCGGCAGAAUAAGCACCGGCUAACUACGUG